RNAcentral lists this unclassified non-coding RNA (226 nucleotides) under Hevea brasiliensis (rubber tree). Lineage: Eukaryota; Viridiplantae; Streptophyta; Magnoliopsida; Malpighiales; Euphorbiaceae. The record is from RNAcentral.
AAGCGUUCCCGGUCUCCAUCAACAACAGAAUUGUAAGUCAAGAGUCACGAUUGCAUUGUUCACGCAUCGGCUUCAGUUGCCAUCUCUCUCAGCCUCUCUGAUAAGCAGAUUGCCAUGUUAGAUGAUUUUGAUUUCUUUUAAAGGGGCAACGUAAGAUUACCCGCUAGGCUUCUAGCUCAGCUUCAUCUGAAAAUUCAUUGCCAACCAGCUUUGAUUUAAUGCACCA